GGAGGAAAGUAGGGGAUCGCAAGACCUCAUGCUCGUGGAGCGGCCGAUAUCUGAUUAGCUAGUUGGUAGGGUAAAAGCCUACCAAGGCAUCGAUCAGUAGCUGGUCUGAGAGGACGACCAGCCACACUGGAACUGAGACACGGUCCAGACUCCUACGGGAGGCAGCAGUGGGGAAUUUUGGACAAUGGGCGAAAGCCUGAUCCAGCAAUGCCGCGUGAGUGAAGAAGGCCUUCGGGUUGUAAAGCUCUUUUGUCAGGGAAGAAACGGUGAGAGCUAAUACCUCUUGCUAAUGACGGCACCUGAAGAAUAAGCACCGGCUAACUACGUGCCAGCAGCCGCGGUAAUACGUAGGGUGCAAGCGUUAAUCGGAAUUACUGGGCGUAAAGCGUGCGCAGGCGGUUUUGUAAGUCUGAUGUGAAAUCCCCGGGCUCAACCUGGGAAUUGCGUUUGAAACUACAAAGCUAG
RNAcentral lists this ribosomal RNA (465 nucleotides) under uncultured Pseudomonadota bacterium. RNAcentral describes it as "bacterial SSU rRNA". It matches the Rfam family "Bacterial small subunit ribosomal RNA", at positions 198 to 644 of the family's 1533-position model. The record is from RNAcentral. Lineage: Bacteria; Pseudomonadati; Pseudomonadota.